Molecule: ribosomal RNA, 324 nt
Filed under: uncultured eukaryote
Lineage: Eukaryota
Description: partial 18S ribosomal RNA
Rfam family: Eukaryotic small subunit ribosomal RNA
Source: RNAcentral
CCCUUAGAUGUCCUGGGCCGCACGCGCGCUACACUGACAUGUUCAACAAGCCUCCUAGUUCGACAGGAUUUGGGAAAUCUUUGAACGCAUGUCGUGAUAGGGAUAGAUCAUUGCAAUUAUUGAUCUUGAACGAGGAAUUCCUAGUAAACGCGAGUCAUCAGCUCGCAUUGAUUACGUCCCUGCCCUUUGUACACACCGCCCGUCGCUACUACCGAUUGAAUGGCUUAGUGAGCCUUUGGGAUUGGCAGCUUGUACCGGCAACGGUAGCAGGCCGCUGAAAACUUAGGCAAACUUGGUCAUUUAGAGGAAGUAAAAGUCGUAACA